CCCCAUGGCGAGCACUCUGCAGAGCCUGGGCUUCUUCGUCGUACGCCGGCGUCCCUGCUAGUGCCUGCCGUUGAACUCUCCGGCCACCAUUGAUCCGACCUCCCCUAAGCCAUCGAUGAGUAGAGAAAAACAGUGAACGCCACCUCUGUACUCGCCCCACCUUAUGGCGCGUCGCUCCUGCAGUACCGGCCCACGCUCUGCGCGGCGCUCAGGUGUUACGGCUGCCCUCAAAUCCGUCGUCGGACCAUUGGCACUGGGGCAAGCAAAAGCACGGACAGGUGCUCGGCGUGCUGCAACGGCUUCCGAUUUGCCCGGCUAGAUGAAAGACGGCUGGGGAGCAUCUUCUCUGGGGAACACCGCGCGUCAUGGGUGCCUUGCCGAAGUUCAGGGACGGCGUGAUUGCUCAUCGUCGUUCAUGCUCCACCGUGGCGCCACCCAUCUCCGUGGGCAGUGGGCUGCAUCGUCCAAUCGACCGGUGAGUGGCCUGUAACGAGUUCGUUGUGCUCUCGGCUUCAUAUUUCCAUCAACCAACAUCAGAAAUCGCGUGUGUUGCACCAAGAUUGGUCCUCUCUAGUCCUGGCUACCACCGUGGUGGCUCUGUGCGCCGCCGAAUAGAUGACCAGGGGAGGAAGAAAGGGGUGAGUCCGUUGGAUUUCGAUCCAGCGACUAAUAUUAGAUCGGGUUAAAAUUAGAUGUGGUUCGUUCGAUCUAAAUGGACGGGCGGGAUUUUAAGUAGCAUCCCCUUCGCUUGAUUAAAUCAUAGCCGUCGAAGUUCGAUCUGGCGGCCGCGAGGUGAAUUGCGCGCGUUAAACCGAGACCCUUGGAUUUAGAUCCGAUGGUUUAGAUCGCAUUCCGGAUCGGCUGAUUGCGGAUCUAAUCCUAGCGGCCAGAUGUUGAUCGUGCGGCCAGGAACGCAGAAUACCCCUUCGCCGUGCCUAUUUGAUAAAGAGUCCCUGGACUUCUUAGUAAUAAACCCGCGGUCCACAGUGGCUGUGCGCUGAGUCUAGUAAUUCUUGCGUAGAGACCCCUAUAUUUAUCUGUUUUUGUGCGCGCAGUCCAAACAGAGAUUAAAUCAGGAAAUUAAUUUAAGAAAUGAAUUUUUAAUAUGAAAACAAUUCCAGAACUUGUAAAAUUCAUAUAAAAUUUAUUUUAACUCAUUUUUAACCCAUUCCAGUUCCUAUAAUUUGGUAAUAUUAUUGUUUAUCACCUAGUGCCACUGUUUUAGCAUGAAAACUAUAUUAAAUUUGAUCACCUAGUUAUUCUCGUACCAAACACAUAAAAUCUUCAAAAAAUCGUAACUUCUCCGUUUUGAUUCCGAUUUGUUCCGUUCCAGUUGCGUUAGUCUCAUAGAAACGCGUAGAUCAUUAUUAUUCAGUAUAUUCUUAUGUUUGGUGUAAUGUUAAUUUUAUCUAUACCAUGUUUGUUUGUAUUGCUACGACUAGCGCGAGGACACGUGUCAUCUGAAAAGCAAGUUGGUACCUGAAAUCUCAAGUGCCAGGCAAGUUGUGCCCUUGAUCACUUCUUUUACCCACUCAUGUUCUAAUUAAUCAUAAUGAUCUGCAUAGGUUAAUUUUGAUGGGACCUAAUAGGAUACCCUAGUUUGUCUAUCUUUAUGCCUUGUUUACCACUGAACUUUUUGGGUAGUACUUGCUAGUGCUAUAUGUGGUUUUGGGCAUUGAGAUACACAUUAUUCAUGAUUAUACUUUUGUUAUCCGUUGUUAUUUACUGUUCAUGUCAAGAUCAUUAAUGUUAAUUGGAACAUAGAGCUUAACUUGAGAAACACGUGCCACCACAAGGGUUUAUGGACGCCCUUGGCUGAUUAAUUAGGAAAGCUAGUGGAGGACUACCUUACCCGAAAGGGGCAAGGGCAGUAGGGGAGUGGUCAGUGUAGGGAGGCCCUCGGGAGGAUUUUGCUGCGAUGGCGGUCCUGCAAGGGAUUCCUGCAUUGGAGCUUCCCAUAAACUGUAGCGGGUUUUCUGAAGCUAGUGGAACUUUGUAAAGGCCUCGUAGUGUUACCCUGCCUCGCCUCCUCGGUAGAGGUGUAUGGGAAGUCGCGAUCCCUUGGCAGAUGGGUAACAUGACUUGUGGGUAAAGGGUACCACCUCUGCAGAGUGUAAAACUGGUAUACUAGCCGAGCUCACGGUCAUGAGCAGCUCAGGACUCUCUGAUGAUUAAUCUAUGGAACUUAAAUUCAAUUUGUCAUAUGCAUUGCAUCGCAGGUGAUGUUGUUACUUCUGUUCUACUACUUAAUUGGGUUGGUAUUUACUUAUACUUAGUAAUUGCUAAUAAAAUUUUGACCAACUUUAAAAGCAAUGCUCAGCUUCAACCAUCUCUGUUGGUAAGCCUUACACUUCACGUGAGCUCCCACCUUUGGCGAGUUCAUGCACAUUAUUCCCCACAACUUGUUGAGCGAUGAACGUAUGUGAGCUCACUCUUGCUGUCUCACACCCCCCCACAGGUCAAGAUCAGGUACUGCAGGAUGAGGCGCAUGGUGGAUGCUGUGAUGAGUUCGUGAGUGGUCUAGGCCGUCGUCUCCCAGUCAACUUUGGUUUGCUGGACCGUUGUCUCCUUAUAAUGUAAUUAUUUAUUUUGUAUAUAACUCCGAUUAUAUAGUAAAGAUGUGACAUUCGAUCCUGUGCCAUGAUUCAUCAUAUGUGUGAGACUUGGUCCCAGCACACCUGGUGAUUAUGUUCGCGCCCGGGCUUUGGACCCCUAAAACCCGGGUGUGACAGAAGUGGUAUCAGAGGAAUGUUGACUGUAGGACAAAACCUAGAUAGAACUGGACAACCAUUGUCUACUUACCUUUGCUACUCUGAUCUUUUCUAAACUUUCCUUAAUAUUUUCUCAUAUAUUUCCGCUUUACUCUGAUUAUUUUUACCUUUCUUUCUAAAAGACAAAUGUGGAUUUCACACUUUGAAAUCCUGUGCAUAAAAUGACCUUUAGGAAUAGGAGACCUAAUCUUAGGGACAAAAGCAAAACUAUUUUGUAGAUAUUGGUAUGCUUGAGUGUUUGUUCUUAUGAUACUUGUCUGAUUUGGAUCUUUGAUUGAGUGGGAUGAAUUGUGGAGUAGUGUCCACAAUUGCAUCUACAUAUACUUAGGCAUAUAUAUAAUUAAUCAAACUUAGAUUGUCCCUCAUUAAAAAAAAUGUAUCUAGCUUAAUAGAUCCACCUUAUUUUAAAAGAUACUCGCUUACCUAAAUAAAUUCAUCUUAUCUUGAAAAGAUUUAUCUUAUCCUAAUAGAUCUAUAUGACCUCAAAAGAUUCUACCUUAUCCUUAUGGAUUCAUCUUACCCCAAUAAGCAUAUUUAUCCCACGCUAGUGUAACAACCAUGAUCUAGCCUAAAAUAAAUAAGAUCUUAUCUAGUCAAACUAGUAACACCAAUCUAACCUAGAUCUGAUCUAAUCUAAAGUGACUUAUCAAACAUGUUAGAUAAUACUGAUGAAAUAGAUUAGACUCUACUCCUAUAGAACGGGUCUUACCUUAGUUCACCUUGCACUAAAUUAAGAAUGACAGAUCGACUUGGCCAAAUGCAACUACCAUCCAAUAGUUGCAUAACCCCACAAUUUUAACCUAGCAAGAGAUUCUAACCUACCUACACCAUACAAUCCAUCCUACUCACAUAUGUCCUAGCCAUAUGUCCUCGGAAGACAACUCCAAGAAAUAAAGGCCAAAGAAGACCAACCAUGUCAAAGAAGGAUAAGCAUCAACUCAAGACUUCAAAGAUCAAGUUGAAUCGCCAGCGGAAUCAAGAUCCAUAGUUUAGGAUGAAGUCUUUCCUUAUUAUCCCCUUGCCACAACCUCUACUUGCCAUAACCGUACCUGACCUAAUGAAUAUCUAAACAUACAAUAUUCAUAUCAUCUACUAACUGUUAAAAAAAAACUUGAACAAAACUUUGAUUCCCAAAACCAAAUGAGAAACUAAAAUUCUAGACCAAACCUAUUAUAUCCCUUUUCUUACAAAUCUCGAGGACGAGAUUAUUUUUAAGGGGGGUAGGAUUUGUAAUACCCAAAAUUAUAAAUCAAAUAAAAGGAGGUAGUCAUUCCUAAAUAAUAUUCCUCCCUUAUGAUAUCAUAUGUGAACGACCUUAUUUAAGUGAGUACUUAAAGUAAUGCCAUCUAAAAAAAUAUAAUUUGUGCAUCAUGCCGAGGUUUAUUUGUUUGUGCAUUCACUCAUGAAGACAGUGAUAAUAGAAAAAAAACAAAAGUGAAAAUGUGCAUUAAACCAAAUUUGGAGUUUGGAUUUUGAGUGUGUUUUCUGAUUAAUUUGAAGUUUAAAUUUGAAUCUAGAAUAAAAAUUGAAUUUGAAAAUGUUCAGAAUAAAUAGAAAUGGGUACAGAAUUGCAUGUAAUGUAUUCCCUUGUUUAUUUACCAUAUAAAACUUCCAUGAUCAAGUGAUUAACUCAAUUAAAAAUAUGAGAAACCAAAUAAAUUUGUGCACAUCAUACUGAUAUUUGGUUGGUGUGGCAUUUUGUUUGGAAUUCAAGGAUCAAAACCUUAACUGAAUUUUAAAAUAAUGGAAAUACAAACUGAAAAGAAAAUACAAGAAUGAGAACUCCCAGCCGGCCUCACCUUUUUCGUUUUUUUUUCUUUUCAUUUCUUUUUUUCCCUCUGGCCGGCCAUGCGCAUGCGCUACACUGUUGGAGAAUCUUUCACAGGAGCGCUGCAUGCGGAACCUCGAGGUCCUCCUCACGCACCAGCCAUUUCCUCCACUCGCUACGGAGUCUGUGGUGCAUGCGCUCGCCUCUUCUCUUGCGCAUUGCCCAGUAUACAGGUUCAUGCGUGAUGCCGCCCGGUGGACCCCUCCCCAUCUCGCAUGCAUCGUCUCCGCCGCGAAGCCGCGCGUAACUGAAUUAGCGUCUUUGCGGGGUCCGCUCGGCUGUGAAACUGAACCCCGCUUUAGCCGCCUGGGCGCUCACCUGGUCCGUUCGGUAGAUGAGGUCUACCGUGAUUCUCGGACGUCAGCUCACCCUGCGGCUAUAAAGCCAUGCCAUCUCCCCAGCGAUCACCCCCAUGGCGAGCACUCUGCAGAGCCUGGGCUUCUUCGUCGUACGCCGGCGUCCCUGCUAGUGCCUGCCGUUGAACUCUCCGGCCACCAUUGAUCCGACCUCCCCUAAGCCAUCGAUGAGUAGAGAAAAACAGUGAACGCCACCUCUGUACUCGCCCCACCUUAUGGCGUGUCGCUCCUGCAGUACCGGCCCACGCUCUGCGCGGCGCUCAGGUGUUACGGUUGCCCUCAAAUCCGUCGUCGGACCAUUGGCACUGGGGCAAGCAAAAGCACGGACAGGUGCUCGGCGUGCUGCAACGGCUUCCGAUUUGCCCGGCUAGAUGAAAGACGGCUGGGGAGCAUCUUCUCUGGGGAACACCGCGCGUCAUGGGUGCCUUGCCGAAGUUCAGGGACGGCGUGAUUGCUCAUCGUCGUUCAUGCUCCACCGUGGCGCCACCCAUCUCCGUGGGCAGUGGGCUGCAUCGUCCAAUCGACCGGUGAGUGGCCUGUAACGAGUUCGUUGUGCUCUCGGCUUCAUAUUUCCAUCAACCAACAUCAGAAAUCGCGUGUGUUGCACCAAGAUUGGUCC
Molecule: long non-coding RNA, 5574 nt
Filed under: Zea mays
Lineage: Eukaryota; Viridiplantae; Streptophyta; Magnoliopsida; Poales; Poaceae
Description: long non-coding RNA (ZMAY_LNC005389)
Source: RNAcentral